AACGAACGCUGGCGGCAGGCCUAACACAUGCAAGUCGAACGAGACCUUCGUGUCUAGUGGCGCACGGGUGCGUAACGCGUGGGAACCUGCCCUUAGGUUCGGAAUAACUCCCCGAAAGGGGUGCUAAUACCGGAUAAUGUCUUCGGACCAAAGAUUUAUCGCCUGUGGAUGGGCCGGCGUUGGUUUAGCUAGUUGGUAGGGUAAAAGCCUACCAAGGCGACGAUCCAUAGCGGGUCUGAGAGGAUGAUCAGCCACACUGGGACUGAGACACGGCGCAGACUCCUACGGGAGGCAGCAGUGGGGAAUAUUGGACAAUGGGCGAAAGCCUGAUCCAGCAAUGCCGCGUGAGUGAUGAAGGCCUUAGGGUUGUAAAGCUCUUUUAUCCGGGAUGAUAAUGACAGUACCGGGAGAAUAAGCUCCGGCUAACUCCGUG
This 433-nucleotide ribosomal RNA is filed under the name uncultured bacterium. Its description in RNAcentral is "partial 16S ribosomal RNA". It matches the Rfam family "Bacterial small subunit ribosomal RNA", at positions 29 to 507 of the family's 1533-position model. The record is from RNAcentral.